This 75-nucleotide transfer RNA is filed under the name Betaproteobacteria bacterium. RNAcentral describes it as "tRNA-Thr". It matches the Rfam family "tRNA". Rfam says of the family: Transfer RNA (tRNA) molecules are approximately 80 nucleotides in length. Their secondary structure includes four short double-helical elements and three loops (D, anti-codon, and T loops). Further hydrogen bonds mediate the characteristic L-shaped molecular structure. tRNAs have two regions of fundamental functional importance: the anti-codon, which is responsible for specific mRNA codon recognition, and the 3' end, to which the tRNAs corresponding amino acid is attached (by aminoacyl-tRNA synthetases). tRNAs cope with the degeneracy of the genetic code in two manners: having more than one tRNA (with a specific anti-codon) for a particular amino acid; and 'wobble' base-pairing, i.e. permitting non-standard base-pairing at the 3rd anti-codon position. The record is from RNAcentral. Lineage: Bacteria; Pseudomonadati; Pseudomonadota; Betaproteobacteria.
GCCGCUUUAGCUCAGUGGUAGAGCAGGCGCUUCGUAAGCGUCAGGUCGUCUGUUCAAAUCAGACAAGCGGCACCA